RNAcentral lists this ribosomal RNA (1591 nucleotides) under human gut metagenome. RNAcentral's name for it is "bacterial LSU rRNA". It matches the Rfam family "Bacterial large subunit ribosomal RNA", at positions 401 to 2006 of the family's 2925-position model. The record is from RNAcentral.
GGCACAAAAGAGUACCACGAGGCACGAGAAACCUAGUGGGAACAUAGGGGGACCACCCCCUAAGGCUAAAUACUACUUGGUGACCGAUAGCGAACAAGUACCGUGAGGGAAAGGUGAAAAGAACCCCGGGAGGGGAGUGAAAAAGAAUCUGAAACCUAGUGUUUACAAGCAGCGAAACUGGUGCAAACCAGGAUCGUGUACUUUUUGUAGAACGGGCCAGCGAGUUAUGAUAAAAAGCAAGGUUAAGAAAUUAAGUUUCGAAGCCGUAGAGAAAUCGAGUCUUAAAAGGGCGUAAGUUAUUUGUCAUAGACCCGAAACCGUGUGAUCUAUCCUUGGGCAGGGUGAAGUUAAAGUAAAAUUUAAUGGAGGCCCGAACCGGGUAGCGUUUAAAAGCUAUCGGAUGACCUGAGGAUAGGGGUGAAAAGCCAAACGAACACGGAGAUAGCUGGUUCUCCUCGAAAUAGCUUUAGGGCUAGCCUUUAGCAGAAGUGACGCGGGGGUAGAGCACUGAAUAGCCAAGGGGCGUUAAACGUUACCGAGGCCUAUCAAACUCCGAAUACCGAAUCACAAGCUAAGGAGUCAGACUAUGUGGGAUGAGCUUCAUAGUCGAAAGGGAAAGAGCCCAGACCACCAGCUAAGGUCCCAAAAUACUGAUUAAGUGGAAAAGGAUGUGGAGUUACUGAGACAACUAGGAUGUUGGCUUAGAAGCAGCCAUGCAUUCAAAGAGUGCGUAAUAGCUCACUAGUCAAGUGACUCUGCGCCGAAGAUAACCGGGGCUAAAUCAGAUACCGAAGCUGUGGAAUUACAAACGUAAUUGGUAGAGGAGCAAUGUAUGCAGGAAGAAGCAGAAGCCGUAAGGCACUGUGGACAACAUACAAGAGAGAAUGCUGGCAUGAGUAGCGAGAAGGUGAGUGAGAAUCUCACCCGUCGAAAACCCAAGGAUUCCUGAGGAAGGCUCGUCCACUCAGGGUAAGUCGGGACCUAAGGCGAGGCCGAAAGGCGUAGUCGAUGGACAACAGGUUGAAAAUCCUGUACCGAUAUCAAGCGACAAAAAGUAAGUGGGGACGCAGGAGGAUAGGAGCAGCGCCCAGUUGGUGAGGCGUACAAGCGCAAAGUCUGGAAAGUAGGCAAAUCCGCUUUCCAUAAGGAUGAAGCGUGAUGUGGAUCGAAAAAAAGUAGAGAAGGAUCCGACUCCACACUGCCAAGAAAAGCCACUAUCAAGUAAGAUAUCGCCCGUACCGUAAACCGACACAGGUAGGAGAGGAGAGAAUCCUAAGACGCGCGGAAGAACCUUUGUUAAGGAACUCGGCAAAAUGACCCCGUAAGUUAGCGAGAAGGGGAGCCUAACCAGAAAUGGAAGGCCGCAGUGAAAAGGCCCAAGCGACUGUUUACCAAAAACACAAGUCUCUGCAAAGUCGAAAGACGAAGUAUAGGGGCUGACACCUGCCCGGUGCUGGAAGGUUAAGGGAAAGAGUUAGCGUAAGCGAAGCUCAGAACUGAAGCCCCAGUAAACGGCGGCCGUAACUAUAACGGUCCUAAGGUAGCGAAAUUCCUUGUCGGGUAAGUUCCGACCCGCACGAAAGGUGUAACG